CUGCUCAGUAACACGUGGACAACCUACCCUUGGGUCUGGCAUAAUCCUGGGAAACUGGGGAUAAUUCCGGAUAGGCCACAGAUGCUGGAAUGCGCUGUGGCCGAAAGCUCCGGCGCCCAAGGAUGGGUCUGCGGCCUAUCAGGGUUGUAGUGGGUGUAAUGUACCUACUAGCCUACGACGGGUACGGGUUGUGAGAGCAAGAGCCCGGAGAUGGAUUCUGAGACACGAAUCCAGGCCCUACGGGGUGCAGCAGGCGCGAAAACUUUACAAUGCGGGAAACCGUGAUAAGGGGACACCGAGUGCCAGCAUCAUAUGCUGGCUGUCCGGAUGUGUAAAAUACAUCCGUUAGCAAGGGCCGGGCAAGACCGGUGCCAGCCGCCGCGGUAACACCGGCGGCCCGAGUGGUGAUCGUGAUUAUUGGGUCUAAAGGGUCCGUAGCCGGUUUGGUCAGUCCUCCGGGAAAUCUGAUAGCUCAACUGUCAGGCUGCUAGGGGAUACUGUUUGGCUUGGAACCGGGAGAGGUAAGACGUACUUCGGGGGUAGGAGUGAAAUCUUGUGAUCCUCGAGGGACCACCAGUGGCGAAGGCGUCUCACCAGAACGGGUCCGACGGUAAGGGACGAAAGCUAGGGGCACGAACCGGAUUAGAUACCCGGGUAGUCCUAGCCGUAAACGAUGCUCGCUAGGUGUCAGUCACGGUGCGACCGUGAUUGGUGCCGUAGGGAAGCCGUGAAGCGAGCCACCUGGGAAGUAUGGCCGCAAGGCUGAAACUUAA
Molecule: ribosomal RNA, 773 nt
Filed under: uncultured Methanosarcinales archaeon
Lineage: Archaea; Methanobacteriati; Methanobacteriota; Methanomicrobia; Methanosarcinales
Description: bacterial SSU rRNA
Rfam family: Archaeal small subunit ribosomal RNA
Source: RNAcentral